UGGAGGAGGAAAAGAAAGUAGAAAAGAAGAGAUGAUUUACUGUUUAGAUUAGGAUUAAAGUAGGUGAACCACUAAUUAGACGUUAUGUUUGUAGGAAAGGUGAAGGGUUGGACUAAGGUGAGCGAACUAUUAAUUAGAUGUUAUAGGUGCAGGGAAGUCGACGUUAUGUGUAUAGGAAAGAUGAAGGGUUGGGUUAAGGUUAGUGGAUAGGUUAGUGGAUUAUUAAUUAGACGUUAUAGGUGAAGGGAAGGCAAAGAGUUGGUUUCGCUGAAGGAAGGAA
This 280-nucleotide long non-coding RNA is filed under the name Ananas comosus (pineapple). RNAcentral describes it as "long non-coding RNA (ACOM_LNC025891)". Lineage: Eukaryota; Viridiplantae; Streptophyta; Magnoliopsida; Poales; Bromeliaceae. The record is from RNAcentral.